Molecule: non-coding RNA, 236 nt
Filed under: Gottschalkia acidurici
Lineage: Bacteria; Bacillati; Bacillota; Tissierellia; Tissierellales; Gottschalkiaceae
Description: Clostridium acidurici T-box sequence
Rfam family: T-box leader
About the family: Uncharged tRNA acts as the effector for transcription antitermination of genes in the T-box leader family.
Source: RNAcentral
AUAGAAACUAUGAAGGGAAGAGUAGGAUUAAUUUUUAUCUGAAAGAGAGCCAAGAUAGGUGAAAGUUGGCGUUAAAAGUUAUUCUGAAUAUGGCCCCUGAGUUAUAUAGUUGAAAUUAAGUAGGCUAUAUCGGAAAUCAACCGUUAUAUUGAUGGGUUAAAGACCUAGUGAGUUCUAAAUUGUGAAGUUUAGAUAAAUUAGAGUGGUACCGCGAAGACUAAGCCUUCGUCUCUAUA